This 910-nucleotide ribosomal RNA is filed under the name Phytophthora nicotianae (black shank of tobacco agent). Its description in RNAcentral is "eukaryotic LSU rRNA". The stretch from base 286 to 440 matches the Rfam family "5.8S ribosomal RNA". Lineage: Eukaryota; Oomycota; Peronosporomycetes; Peronosporales; Peronosporaceae. The record is from RNAcentral.
GGAAGUAAAAAAGUCGUAACAAGGUUUCCGUAGGUGAACCUGCGGAAGGAUCAUUACCACACCUAAAAAACUUUCCACGUGAACCGUUUCAACCCAAUAGUUGGGGGUCUUAUUUGGCGGCGGCUGCUGGCUUAAUUGUUGGCGGCUGCUGCUGAGUGAGCCCUAUCAAAAAAAAGGCGAACGUUUGGGCUUCGGCCUGAUUUAGUAGUCUUUUUUUCUUUUAAACCCAUUCCUUAAUACUGAAUAUACUGUGGGGACGAAAGUCUCUGCUUUUAACUAGAUAGCAACUUUCAGCAGUGGAUGUCUAGGCUCGCACAUCGAUGAAGAACGCUGCGAACUGCGAUACGUAAUGCGAAUUGCAGGAUUCAGUGAGUCAUCGAAAUUUUGAACGCAUAUUGCACUUCCGGGUUAGUCCUGGAAGUAUGCCUGUAUCAGUGUCCGUACAUUAAACUUGACUUUCUUCCUUCCGUGUAGUCGGUGGAGGAGAUGUCAGAUGUGAAGUGUCUUGCGAUUGGUCUUCGGACCGGCUGCGAGUCCUUUUAAAUGUACUAAACUGAACUUCUCUUUGCUCGAAAAGUGGUGGCGUUGCUGGUUGUGAAGGCUGCUAUUGUGGCAAAUUGGCGACUGGUUUGUCUGCUGCGGCGUUAAUGGAAGAGUGUUCGAUUCGUGGUAUGGUUGGCUUCGGCUGAACAAUGCACUUAUUGGACGUUUUUCCUGCUGUGGCGUGAUGGACUGGUGAACCAUAGCUCGGUGGCUUGGCUUUUGAAUUGGCUUUGCUGUUGCGAAGUAGGGUGGCAGCUUCGGUUGUCGAGGGUCGAUCCAUUUGGGAACUUAAUGUGUACUUCGGUAUGCAUCUCAAUUGGACCUGAUAUCAGGCAAGAUUACCCGCUGAACUUAAGCAUAUCAAUAA